CCUGGCUCAGAGCGAACGUUAGCGGCGGGGCCUAACACAUGCAAAGUCGAGCGAGAAAAGGGACUUCGGUCCUGAGUAAAGCGGCGGACGGGUGAGAAAUACGUAGGUAACCUGCCUUUCAGUGGGGGACAACGUCCGAAAGGACCGCUAAUACCGCAUACGUCAUCCGGGACUCUGGUCUUGGAUGGGAAAGCCGGGGCAACCUGGCGCUGGAAGAGGGGCCUACGUCGCAUCAGCUAGUUGGUGGGGUAAUGGCCCACCAAGGCUAAGACGCGUAGCUGGUCUGAGAGGAUGAUCAGCCACACUGGGACUGAGACACGGCCCAGACUCCUACGGGAGGCAGCAGUGGGGAAUAUUGGACAAUGGGCGCAAGCCUGAUCCAGCCACGCCGCGUGAGUGAUGAAGGCCUUCGGGUCGUAAAGCUCUGUGGGGAGGGACGAACCGCCGCUGGCUAAUAUCCAGCGGCAUGACGGUACCUCCUUAGCAAGCACCGGCUAACUUCGUGCCAGCAGCCGCGGUAA
RNAcentral lists this ribosomal RNA (521 nucleotides) under uncultured delta proteobacterium. Its description in RNAcentral is "bacterial SSU rRNA". It matches the Rfam family "Bacterial small subunit ribosomal RNA", at positions 18 to 523 of the family's 1533-position model. Lineage: Bacteria; Deltaproteobacteria. The record is from RNAcentral.